AAUUUAUGACCAAGUAGUCUGGAUUCUAAACUAUCUCCUUUGACUAUAUGUUUCAUAAUCAGUUCACUUUCCCCCAGUUAUCUCCAUUCAUUCUAACCCUUUUCUAAAGUGCACACUUCGUGUUUUGCAAGUAUAAUUAUCAACUCAUAGCUAAUAGCUAAAAUGUUGGCCAAAAUAAUAAAGAGAAUUGUGACAAAUUCUGCCUGACUAUGCCACAACAGUGGCUAGAUUAUGUUUAGAAAAAUUGGUUUAUAGUUUCUAACUUUGCCUUUUUAUCUUCUGGUAUUUUGAGGGGAAAUGGACUACUUAAGAUACUCCCAGUUGGGGCUCUGGAACAUCGUGGAAACCGAAGGAGGAGUAGAAGUACAGAAGGAGAAAGCUUUCAUAGAUGGGUCAAAGACUGGAACAACUUACCAUACUUCAGGGAAAAGAGAUGAACAGCUAUUCUGAUGCUUUUGAAAUCACACAGGAUUUGUGGACAGUGAUGUCAGAAAUUCGGGAUUCUAGGCUCAUUAUUUCAGAGUCCCAAGACGGGGUGGAAUGAAGUCCUCCACUUCUAAGAAGAGCAGUGAGUAACUAUACCAGCUUUCUUUAAAUUCAUAUGUCAUGUGAUCUGUGCCAUACCCUAAGGUCUCUGUGUUCAUCUUUUCAAUGACUUUCUGGAGAAUAUCUUCAUAAUGUGUCCUUUUAUUUGGUGAGUGUAUCCACCCUCAUUUCCAAAUUGUAAAUUUUACUUUAUCAGAGUUUUGUGUGGAUUAACAAAUGAAGAACUUUGGAAAAUUGUUUAUUUGUUUUGUUUUGUAUUGCAGUGAAAUACUAUUUUAUGAAUUAAGGUAUGCUUGGAAGUUCCCUUAAAAAUUACGAUGGUUUUGUAAUGUUGACCCCAUGAUUAAGAUUAUCAUAGUCAGAUCAUUUUGGUCAGAUUUAUAAGAUCAUUAUGGAUCAUUAUUGCUACUUUUUUCAUCAUUGAGAUUUUACAUUAAUUAGAUAUUUUUGAUGUGGACAAUUAUAUGCUAAAUUUUAUGAGCUCUUUCUAAGGCCUUCAUUUAAAUGAUAAAUACCCAAACACAAUAAAGUUUUUCUAAAACACAAAACAGUUCAAUUUUCCAUAUAAUAUUUGUCUCAUAAAAGAUAUUAGGUUGAAUUAAUCAGGUGGAUAGAUAAUGAAAUUUCAUAUAUUAAAUUAUUAAUCAUUAUUUUCUGUUAAAUUUGAAACAUCCAUCAAUAAGGGAAAUAGUCUGUAUCUUCCUUGGCAUGAUUACAUAGAAGGUUUUAUGUUACCUUGAGCUUGGUGUUCAUACUUUGGGAAUAGGUAAAUGGUUUUUUUCUUGAUAAAGUUCUUGUCAUACAUUGUUUCAAUGAGAAAUUGUUUUUGUGUUCUCUUUAUGCUUAUAUAUGUGUUUAUGUAUGUAUAUAUUUUAAUGUGUGUAUUUAUUUCUCCAGAAUCUAGCAAGACAAUUCAAAUGAACUCAAUAAUAAUGAAUAAAAUAGCCAUGAACACUAAUAAUUGUAAAAUCAGAAAAUAAAAAAGCCCUACCAGAUACUGAAAUGGACUCUAAAACUUCCAUUAUUAAAAAAAAAAUGAGAAAAAAAUUGAGAAUGAAUGUAAAUGAAAGGAAUACUAGCACAUAAUUUGGUUUAAUAAAUAUCCUACAAAUACCUGCUUUUAGAUUUUACUAUCUGUAUAUUUAUAUAAUACUUACAUUAAUGUAUGUUUGCAGUGCAUAGCUGCUAUCUCCAGGUACCGAAGUAUAUCAACAUAUAAUAUUUAUGCUGUUAAGGGUAGGUAUUAAAAGUGUGCUACCCAAUGUGUUUUUUUCUAAGUACUUUCUUCCAAGACUGGGAACAAGACAACAAUGUCCUCUCCCAUCACUUCUAUUUAUAUUGUUCUGUACAGUAAUGACCAUGCAACAGGGCAAGAAAUGUAAAUAAAGGCAUAAAGAUCACAAAGUAAGAAACAAAGAUUUCUUUGCAGAAAACUCAAUUACUUAUGUUAGAAAAUCCCAAAGAGCCUACAAUAACACUCCCAGAACUGAAAACUUAGUUUAGCAAGUUUGCAAGAUACAAGGCCAAUAUACAAGUCAAUUAUAUUACUAUAUAAUAGCAACAAACAAUUGGACUUUGAGAUAAAUCCCAUUUAUAAUAGCACAAGAAAUGAGGGACUUCUGUAAUGCAAUAAAAUAUGUACAAUAUCUUUGCAAAACACUGAUCAAGUUAUCAAAGAAAACCUAAAUAAAAGUAGAGAUAUAUUCUGUUUAUGGGUCAGAAGUUUCAAAAUAGUGGAACUGUCAGUUACCCCAAUUUCAUUUGUAGAUUCAAUAUAAUCCAAAUAAAAAAUAUUGCAAUUUCUUUGUAGAUAUCAACAAGGUCAUUCUAAAAUUAAUGUCAAAGGUAAAACAACUAUAAUAGCAAAAGAUAUCCUGAAAAACUUAUAAAGUCAGAGACUUUACACUAUGUUAUUUUAAGGCUUACUAUAAAACUAUAGUAAAAAUUAACACAUAGGUCAAAGAAGAUAAUAUCUGUUAAAGAUAGUCAUGGAGAAAGAUACCUGGGUGGUUUCUGAAAUGCUGGUAGUGUUUGUUUCUGGAUAUGUUUAUUGAUUACCUGCUGUUUUUGGAAGAUGCAAAUUUAUUGAUUUCUAUAGUUUAAUGCAUGCCCUUUGCUGUAUCUAUAUUAUACUUCAAUUGAAAGUUUGAAAUAUGAAAUAAAACUAGUCUAAAUAUUGGUUAA
This is a long non-coding RNA of Prionailurus viverrinus (fishing cat), 2730 nucleotides long. RefSeq lists it as uncharacterized. The record is from RefSeq and is a predicted model, not a curated record. Lineage: Eukaryota; Metazoa; Chordata; Mammalia; Carnivora; Felidae. The transcript is spliced from 3 exons.